GACGAACGCUGGCGGCGUGCUUAACACAUGCAAGUCGAACGGAAAGGCCCUGCUUUUGUGGGGUGCUCGAGUGGCGAACGGGUGAGUAACACGUGAGUAACCUGCCCUUGACUUUGGGAUAACUUCAGGAAACUGGGGCUAAUACCGGAUAGGAGCUCCUGCUGCAUGGGGGGGGUUGGAAAGUUUCGGCGGUGGGGGAUGGGCUCGCGGGUUAUCCGCUUGUUGGUGGGGUAGUGGCUGACCAAGGCUUUGAAGGGUAGCCGGCCUGAGAGGGUGAACGGCCACAUUGGGACUGAGAUGCGGCCCAGACUCCGACGGGAGGCAGCAGUGGGGAAUAUUGACCAAUGGGCGGAAGCCUGAUGAAGCAACGCCGCGUGCGGGAUGACGGCCUUCGGGUUGUAAACCGCUUUCGCCUGUGACGAAGCGUGAGUGACGGUAAUGGGUAAAGAAGCACCGGCUAACUACGUG
This 468-nucleotide ribosomal RNA is filed under the name uncultured bacterium. RNAcentral describes it as "partial 16S ribosomal RNA". It matches the Rfam family "Bacterial small subunit ribosomal RNA", at positions 28 to 507 of the family's 1533-position model. The record is from RNAcentral.